CAGCCGUAAACAAUGUGCGUUAGGUGUGUCGGUAACCACGUGUUACUGAUGCGCCGAAGAGAAAUCGUGAAACGCACCACCUGGGAAGUACGGUCGCAAGGCUGAAACUUAAAGGAAUUGGCGGGGGAGCACCACAACAGGUGGAGCCUGCGGUUUAAUUGGAUUCAACGCCGGACAUCUCACCGGAUAAGACAGCUGGAUGAUUGUCAAUCUGAAGGUUUUACAUGACUAGCUGAGAGGAGGUGCAUGGGCGUAGACGUCU
RNAcentral lists this ribosomal RNA (262 nucleotides) under uncultured archaeon. Its description in RNAcentral is "partial 16S ribosomal RNA". It matches the Rfam family "Archaeal small subunit ribosomal RNA", at positions 748 to 1009 of the family's 1478-position model. The record is from RNAcentral.